UGUUAUUCAAAAUGCUGGAGUGCUUGCGUGAGACGUGUCAUGUCGGGCCUCAUUUCUGUGUGUGUUUCUGUGUGUGGUGCGUGCAGGCUGACCCAGGAUACGCAGAACGUCUACAUCACGCCAGCGGAUCGUGGGCCAACAACAGUUUAUCUGCCCAGCCCUGCAGAGAGAACAAUUCUCCUCGCACAAACUCUUUGGGUCAUGCAAGAAGGGAGUUCCCAUCUCCUCAGCGGGUCACGUCGGCUCCGUCCAAAAGAGAACGCAUCUCCUACCGAGACAACCUGGUGCAGAUGAGCGGCGGCUGGGGAGGGGGCAAGAAGAAGAGGGACAAAGUGUGCAAGUAAAACACAAACUCUUCCACCACCACGUCACUCACCCAACACCCAGAGAAAGUAAAGCAGAUAGAUUUGAUAUCUGUCCCUCCUGCGGGUGCACAUCCCUACAAAGAAUGCAGCGUCUGAUCAUUUCCUAACAUGUAGUGACCCAAUAGAUUACCCCCCCCCCCCGAAGCUAUUCUUUUUAAACUCAGCUGAAAACUCGAGCUCCCUGCCCUGAAACUGAAUUAAGAGCAAUAGGACCUGAACCAGCCCAAAUAUCUUCAGGCACUUUCAUUGUGUUGACUCAGCUCAAGUAUCGCCGAUCGCAGCCGAGCAGCAACAAAACACAUGGAAGCAAACGGCACGCUUAGUAUGCAAAUGAUGGCAGGAAACAAGAACCAGGACCUUUUUAAUACCCGUGGAUUCAUGUUUCUUUGUGUGCUGAUGUACCCUCUCCACAAACAAUAUCGUGAUUAUAGUUUAGUAAAGUUUAUUAAAGCCCAGAGGUUUAAGAGGUGGCUAUAUUUAGCUCCUGCUUGCCAACCACUGUUGAAAUGACUGCUCUUAUGAGUGCAAACAUUGGUGUUAGAAUUAGAAGGAUGUUUUCUUUAUUUUAAGUCGUGGAUGAUAAUGGCCUUGUCCGUCCGCAAACACUGGUCCACCGGAGGCGGUGAACCUCGAGGGCUCUGAGGUUCCUUCGCUGUCCGCCGCCUGGAAACGAUAACUUAAUGAAUGUCAAAACAAAUAGUCCGAGCUGCAGAGUGGCUCCCUGGCAGGAAAUGCACGUCUGUGUUAUUUAUUUUCCUCCUAAACUUCACUUGCACAUGUCUGGAGGGUGUGUUUUGACUGUACAAGAGCUGAUAGGGAUUGUCGUCUUAGAGUGGCGUAUGCCAGAGAUGUGGCGGUGCUGCCCACUGCGGGGAUGUUGUGAAACCCAAGAGCACCGUCCUCCUUCAGGGGGAGACUCUUCAGGCUCUCCGGGGGGACAUCCAGGGCCGUAUCUGUCAUCAAUCUGUCACUACACGACUCUGAUGCGGGAGAAUUAAGAUGUGUAUUGCACAUACAACAUGGAAACACAGGGCGUAUACAAGAACUGCAUGUGUCUCGUCACCGGUGUUGUUUUGUGUGACAAAAGUUUCCCAGACUUCUCUGCAACUGCCGCUUCUGGAAAGAUAUUGUUAAACCGUCGUCCACCAGUCUUCAUUAGUUCUGUUUACUUUUUGGUUAUGGGUAAAUUACAUGUAACCCAAGACAUCCAAAAUCCAUUGCGUGGUGAAAUGAGCGCUCCACCGCACAUUUAGAUAAGAUGAAGAAUGUCCCUCUCAGCCCCGACUGCCCUGCCAGCCUGACCUCAAGUCAGCAAACGUUGUCAGAUUGAGUCUGCCAGAGAGAGCUUUUACAUCCAAGUGCUUUCUUCAAAUGCAUUAAAGGACCAUGGCCGUUUGUGCUUCCAACUUUUAGCUACGAUUUUUAUACAGUGUGCAAUUUCUUGCUGACCAUUUUGGGAUGCAUGCUGCACUGUUUUUAGAUUUCUGGGCUUUUUCUUUUGUAAACAGCAUUCCAGGUAACUUUGACAAAAUGAAUGCAGACUGACGGCUCGAGCUGGUUUCAAGAUUAGAUUUUUUUAUAUCAUUUAAAUGAAUGGAAGCCAGUCAAAAUAUAAUAACAUUUGUAAAGUACUGUACGACAGUGUGACUCGCUAAGUGAUGUAAAGUAUUAAAAGAGACUGGCAGAACUAACGAGUGAAAUGUGGUUGUUCUGGAGAGUCUGAAGGUUUAUACUUAUUAUGCAAGAGUAAAUCCUAAAAACAUAUUAAUGAAGUCGUUUGAAUUGGUCUGAAAAUACUUCAUUUGUCACAACGUAGAAGACCCUGAACUCAAAUUCAAACACAAUCCCGAUAAAGACGAAUGCACACGAGCGGUCUCUCCUUAAACUCCUCUUUUAAACAAAUUAGCCGGCUCCUUUUAGCCAAAGUAAAGACAUAGGAGUGGAUAUAAACUCUGAGGAAUGUGCAAGCUCUCCUGGAAAUGUGAAACCAAUUUAUAAAGAAGUUGGGAAUAAACUCACACAAGCAGAAAGUAUUCUGUAAAAGUCAAAGAUAAUUUAUUCCCUUCAGCGACAACUGCUGGCUUAUUAUAUCACGCAGAUGAAAAACAGGUCCGAGUCGCUGGUUCACGUGCAGCAAAGCUCCAGAAGAUGACCUCCAGGGUUUGUAAAUGAAUCCCUUUUCAUUUACACAUGUUCGGAAGCUUGUCUCGUAUUUGUUGACAAAGAAGGUGGAAAGUGUCUACAUACAACAUGUGUGUACAGACGUAUACAUGCAUAUUUAUUACAUUGUAAAAUGUCUUCCAUUUACAUUAAGUAAUGUAUGAUGACGUCUGAAUGUGUGUAAUGAGUCUGCUCACGUGAUGUAAUUCAUAUUAUUAGAUUUAUGUUUUGCAUUGAGAGUUUAUGAGCUGGUUUUAUAUCUUUGUGUCGCUGGUGUUUUAAAUGAUUUUCUUUUUGCUGCUGGAUUCAUAAAACUGAUUAUAUGUAACCGUGUGUGACUCUGUAUUGUUUGUAGGUGCUUUACGUGUGUGUGCAUCUCUUUUUUAAUAUUGAAAUGAGAGAAAUUAAAGGUGAAUCCAAGCGAUCACAGAGGCAUAUAAAUGUGUUGGUGUGUGCGGGCUCACCUGGCCUUCUUCAUUGUUUCUGUCCUGAUAUUAAUUCUGCAAAGCACUUUAUUGUUAUUAAAAUGCUCUUCAGUCUCGUGGAACAGCAUCUGGAUUUGGUCUGAGCGACCCUGCUGCCGGGUUAGUUCUGGUUUCAGUCAGAGGUGACUUGUAUAACAAGUCGACAUGAACCCAGAUGACUUAAGUCAAGUGACUGAGAGCUUUGUCAGGGCUCGGGGAUUCCUGACUCCUGGACAAAACAAG
This is a long non-coding RNA of Cottoperca gobio, 3232 nucleotides long. Lineage: Eukaryota; Metazoa; Chordata; Actinopteri; Perciformes; Bovichtidae. The record is from Ensembl.